GCCGCGGUGGUGGAAUUGGCAGACACGCAGCGCUUAGGACGCUGUCCCGCAAGGGAUUGGAGGUUCAAAUCCUCCCCGCGGCA
This 83-nucleotide transfer RNA is filed under the name Candidatus Parcubacteria bacterium. RNAcentral's name for it is "tRNA-Leu". It matches the Rfam family "tRNA". From Rfam's summary of the family: Transfer RNA (tRNA) molecules are approximately 80 nucleotides in length. Their secondary structure includes four short double-helical elements and three loops (D, anti-codon, and T loops). Further hydrogen bonds mediate the characteristic L-shaped molecular structure. tRNAs have two regions of fundamental functional importance: the anti-codon, which is responsible for specific mRNA codon recognition, and the 3' end, to which the tRNAs corresponding amino acid is attached (by aminoacyl-tRNA synthetases). tRNAs cope with the degeneracy of the genetic code in two manners: having more than one tRNA (with a specific anti-codon) for a particular amino acid; and 'wobble' base-pairing, i.e. permitting non-standard base-pairing at the 3rd anti-codon position. Lineage: Bacteria; Candidatus Parcubacteria. The record is from RNAcentral.